GAGUUUGAUCGUGGCUCAGAGUGAACGCUGGCGGCAGGCCUAACACAUGCAAGUCGAACGGCAGCAUCAAGAGAGCUUGCUCUCUUGGAUGGCGAGUGGCGGACGGGUGAGGAAUACAUCGGAAUCUGCCUAUUUGUGGGGGAUAACCUCGGGAAACCGGGACUAAUACCGCAUACGACCUACGGGUGAAAGCGGAGGACCUUCGGGCUUCGCGCAGAUAGAUGAGCCGAUGUCGGAUUAGCUAGUUGGCGGGGUAAUGGCCCACCAAGGCGACGAUCCGUAGCUGGUCUGAGAGGAUGAUCAGCCACACUGGAACUGAGACACGGUCCAGACUCCUACGGGAGGCAGCAGUGGGGAAUAUUGGACAAUGGGCGCAAGCCUGAUCCAGCCAUGCCGCGUGGGUGAAGAAGGCCUUCGGUUGU
RNAcentral lists this ribosomal RNA (422 nucleotides) under uncultured Gammaproteobacteria bacterium. RNAcentral describes it as "bacterial SSU rRNA". It matches the Rfam family "Bacterial small subunit ribosomal RNA", at positions 9 to 426 of the family's 1533-position model. The record is from RNAcentral. Lineage: Bacteria; Pseudomonadati; Pseudomonadota; Gammaproteobacteria.